UACGUAGGGUGCAAGCGUUGUCCGGAAUUAUUGGGCGUAAAGAGCUCGUAGGCGGUCUGUCGCGUCUGCUGUGAAAACUCAGGGCUUAACCCUGAGCUUGCAGUGGGUACGGGCAGACUAGAGUGCGGUAGGGGAGACUGGAAUUCCUGGUGUAGCGGUGAAAUGCGCAGAUAUCAGGAGGAACACCGGUGGCGAAGGCGGGGUCUCUGGGCCGUAACUGACGCUGGAGGAGCGGAAAGCAUGGGGAGCGAAACAGG
RNAcentral lists this ribosomal RNA (257 nucleotides) under uncultured bacterium. RNAcentral describes it as "partial 16S ribosomal RNA". It matches the Rfam family "Bacterial small subunit ribosomal RNA", at positions 524 to 776 of the family's 1533-position model. The record is from RNAcentral.